Molecule: ribosomal RNA, 3300 nt
Filed under: Saccharomyces cerevisiae (brewer's yeast)
Lineage: Eukaryota; Fungi; Ascomycota; Saccharomycetes; Saccharomycetales; Saccharomycetaceae
Description: 21S ribosomal RNA
Rfam family: Bacterial large subunit ribosomal RNA (bases 186-3148)
Source: RNAcentral
GUAAAAAGUAGAAUAAUAGAUUUGAAAUAUUUAUUAUAUAGAUUUAAAGAGAUAAUCAUGGAGUAUAAUAAUUAAAUUUAAUAAAUUUAAUAUAACUAUUAAUAGAAUUAGGUUACUAAUAAAUUAAUAACAAUUAAUUUUAAAACCUAAAGGUAAACCUUUAUAUUAAUAAUGUUAUUUUUUAUUAUUUUUAUAAUAAGAAUAAUUAUUAAUAAUAAUAAACUAAGUGAACUGAAACAUCUAAGUAACUUAAGGAUAAUAAAUCAACAGAGAUAUUAUGAGUAUUGGUGAGAGAAAAUAAUAAAGGUCUAAUAAGUAUUAUGUGAAAAAAAUGUAAGAAAAUAGGAUAACAAAUUCUAAGACUAAAUACUAUUAAUAAGUAUAGUAAGUACCGUAAGGGAAAGUAUGAAAAUGAUUAUUUUAUAAGCAAUCAUGAAUAUAUUAUAUUAUAUUAAUGAUGUACCUUUUGUAUAAUGGGUCAGCAAGUAAUUAAUAUUAGUAAAACAAUAAGUUAUAAAUAAAUAGAAUAAUAUAUAUAUAUAAAAAAAUAUAUUAAAAUAUUUAAUUAAUAUUAAUUGACCCGAAAGCAAACGAUCUAACUAUGAUAAGAUGGAUAAACGAUCGAACAGGUUGAUGUUGCAAUAUCAUCUGAUUAAUUGUGGUUAGUAGUGAAAGACAAAUCUGGUUUGCAGAUAGCUGGUUUUCUAUGAAAUAUAUGUAAGUAUAGCCUUUAUAAAUAAUAAUUAUUAUAUAAUAUUAUAUAAAUAUUAUAUAAAGAAUGGUACAGCAAUUAAUAUAUAUUAGGGAACUAUUAAAGUUUUAUUAAUAAUAUUAAAUCUCGAAAUAUUUAAUUAUAUAUAAUAAAGAGUCAGAUUAUGUGCGAUAAGGUAAAUAAUCUAAAGGGAAACAGCCCAGAUUAAGAUAUAAAGUUCCUAAUAAAUAAUAAGUGAAAUAAAUAUUAAAAUAUUAUAAUAUAAUCAGUUAAUGGGUUUGACAAUAACCAUUUUUUAAUGAACAUGUAACAAUGCACUGAUUUAUAAUAAAUAAAAAAAAUAAUAUUUAAAAUCAAAUAUAUAUAUAUUUGUUAAUAGAUAAUAUACGGAUCUUAAUAAUAAGAAUUAUUUAAUUCCUAAUAUGGAAUAUUAUAUUUUUAUAAUAAUAAUAAAAAUAUAAAUACUGAAUAUCUAAAUAUUAUUAUUACUUUUUUUUUUAAUAAUAAUAAUAUGGUAAUAGAACAUUUAAUGAUAAUAUAUAUUAGUUAUUAAUUAAUAUAUGUAUUAAUUAAAUAGAGAAUGCUGACAUGAGUAACGAAAAAAAGGUAUAAACCUUUUCACCUAAAACAUAAGGUUUAACUAUAAAAGUACGGCCCCUAAUUAAAUUAUAUAAGAAUAUAAAUAUAUUUAAGAUGGGAUAAUCUAUAUUAAUAAAAAUUUAUCUUAAAAUAUAUAUAUUAUUAAUAAUUAUAUUAAUUAAUUAAUAAUAUAUAUAAUUAUAUUAUAUAUUAUAUUUUUAUAUAUAAUAUAUAUAAUAUAAACUAAUAAAGAUCAGGAAAUAAUUAAUGUAUACCGUAAUGUAGACCGACUCAGGUAUGUAAGUAGAGAAUAUGAAGGUGAAUUAGAUAAUUAAAGGGAAGGAACUCGGCAAAGAUAGCUCAUAAGUUAGUCAAUAAAGAGUAAUAAGAACAAAGUUGUACAACUGUUUACUAAAAACACCGCACUUUGCAGAAACGAUAAGUUUAAGUAUAAGGUGUGAACUCUGCUCCAUGCUUAAUAUAUAAAUAAAAUUAUUUAACGAUAAUUUUAUUAAAUUUAGGUAAAUAGCAGCCUUAUUAUGAGGGUUAUAAUGUAGCGAAAUUCCUUGGCCUAUAAUUGAGGUCCCGCAUGAAUGACGUAAUGAUACAACAACUGUCUCCCCUUUAAGCUAAGUGAAAUUGAAAUCGUAGUGAAGAUGCUAUGUACCUUCAGCAAGACGGAAAGACCCUAUGCAGCUUUACUGUAAUUAGAUAGAUCGAAUUAUUGUUUAUUAUAUUCAGCAUAUUAAGUAAUCCUAUUAUUAGGUAAUCGUUUAGAUAUUAAUGAGAUACUUAUUAUAAUAUAAUGAUAAUUCUAAUCUUAUAAAUAAUUAUUAUUAUUAUUAUUAAUAAUAAUAAUAUGCUUUCAAGCAUAGUGAUAAAACAUAUUUAUAUGAUAAUCACUUUACUUAAUAGAUAUAAUUCUUAAGUAAUAUAUAAUAUAUAUUAUAUAUAUAUUAUAUAUAAUAUAAGAGACAAUCUCUAAUUGGUAGUUUUGAUGGGGCGUCAUUAUCAGCAAAAGUAUCUGAAUAAGUCCAUAAAUAAAUAUAUAAAAUUAUUGAAUAAAAAAAUAAUAUAUAUUAUAUAUAUUAAUUAUAAAUUGAAAUAUGUUUAUAUAAAUUUAUAUUUAUUGAAUAUAUUUUAGUAAUAGAUAAAAAUAUGUACAGUAAAAUUGUAAGGAAAACAAUAAUAACUUUCUCCUCUCUCGGUGGGGGUUCACACCUAUUUUUAAUAGGUGUGAACCCCUCUUCGGGGUUCCGGUUCCCUUUCGGGUCCCGGAACUUAAAUAAAAAUGGAAAGAAUUAAAUUAAUAUAAUGGUAUAACUGUGCGAUAAUUGUAACACAAACGAGUGAAACAAGUACGUAAGUAUGGCAUAAUGAACAAAUAACACUGAUUGUAAAGGUUAUUGAUAACGAAUAAAAGUUACGCUAGGGAUAACAGGGUAAUAUAACGAAAGAGUAGAUAUUGUAAGUUAUGUUUGCCACCUCGAUGUCGACUCAACAUUUCCUCUUGGUUGUAAAAGCUAAGAAGGGUUUGACUGUUCGUCAAUUAAAAUGUUACGUGAGUUGGGUUAAAUACGAUGUGAAUCAGUAUGGUUCCUAUCUGCUGAAGGAAAUAUUAUCAAAUUAAAUCUCAUUAUUAGUACGCAAGGACCAUAAUGAAUCAACCCAUGGUGUAUCUAUUGAUAAUAAUAUAAUAUAUUUAAUAAAAAUAAUACUUUAUUAAUAUAUUAUCUAUAUUAGUUUAUAUUUUAAUUAUAUAUUAUCAUAGUAGAUAAGCUAAGUUGAUAAUAAAUAAAUAUUGAAUACAUAUUAAAUAUGAAGUUGUUUUAAUAAGAUAAUUAAUCUGAUAAUUUUAUACUAAAAUUAAUAAUUAUAGGUUUUAUAUAUUAUUUAUAAAUAUAAUAUAAUAAUUAUUAUUAUUAAUAAAAAAAAUAUUAAUUAUAAUAUUAAUAAAAUACUAAUUUAUCAGUUAUCUAUAUAAUAUCUAAUCUAUUAUUCUAUAUACU